UUGCCAGCCCGCUCAAGAAACUUAAAGGAAUUGACGGGGCCCGCACAAGCGGAGGAGCAUGUGGUUUAAUUCGAUGAUACGCGAGGAACCUUACCUGGGCUCGAACGUAAGAUGACUGUAGGUGAAAGCUUACAUCUCUUCGGAGCAUUUUACGAGGUGCUGCAUGGUUGUCGUCAGCUCGUGCCGUGAGGUGUCGGGUUAAGUCCCAUAACGAGCGCAACCCUACCUUUAGUUGCCAUCAGGUAAUGCUGGGGACUCUAAAGGAACUGCCUACGCAAGUAGUGAGGAAGGCGGGGAUGACGUCAAAUCAGCACGGCCCUUACGUCCAGGGCUACACACGUGCUACAAUGGCCGAUACAGAGGGCAGCUACCUGGUGACAGGAUGCAAAUCUCCAAAGUCGGUCUCAGUUCGGAUCGGAGUCUGCAACCCGACUCCGUGAAGUUGGAUUCGCUAGUAAUCGCGCAUCAGCCAUGGCGCGGUGAAUACGUUCCCGGGCCUU
Molecule: ribosomal RNA, 500 nt
Filed under: uncultured Sphingobacteriales bacterium
Lineage: Bacteria; Pseudomonadati; Bacteroidota; Sphingobacteriia; Sphingobacteriales
Description: bacterial SSU rRNA
Rfam family: Bacterial small subunit ribosomal RNA
Source: RNAcentral